UGAGGUGAGCCGCAUCAAGAAGCAGG
Molecule: non-coding RNA, 26 nt
Filed under: Homo sapiens (human)
Lineage: Eukaryota; Metazoa; Chordata; Mammalia; Primates; Hominidae
Source: RNAcentral